GCCUGGGUGGCGAAAUUGGUAGACGCAGCGGAUUCAAAAUCCGCCGAUGGCAACAUUGUGUCGGUUCGAGUCCGACCCCAGGCACCA
This 87-nucleotide transfer RNA is filed under the name Bowmanella denitrificans. RNAcentral's name for it is "tRNA-Leu". It matches the Rfam family "tRNA". Rfam says of the family: Transfer RNA (tRNA) molecules are approximately 80 nucleotides in length. Their secondary structure includes four short double-helical elements and three loops (D, anti-codon, and T loops). Lineage: Bacteria; Pseudomonadati; Pseudomonadota; Gammaproteobacteria; Alteromonadales; Alteromonadaceae. RNAcentral also lists the same sequence under 2 other names. The record is from RNAcentral.